RNAcentral lists this ribosomal RNA (497 nucleotides) under uncultured bacterium. RNAcentral's name for it is "partial 16S ribosomal RNA". It matches the Rfam family "Bacterial small subunit ribosomal RNA", at positions 28 to 507 of the family's 1533-position model. The record is from RNAcentral.
GAUGAACGCUGGCGGCGUGCCUAAUACAUGCAAGUCGAGCGAACGGACGAGAAGCUUGCUUCUCUGAUGUUAGCGGCGGACGGGUGAGUAACACGUGGAUAACCUACCUAUAAGACUGGGAUAACUUCGGGAAACCGGAGCUAAUACCGGAUGAUAUUUUGAACCGCAUGGUUCAAAAGUGUAAGACGGUCUUGCUGUCACUUAUAGAUGGAUCCGCGCUGCAUUAGCUAGUUGGUAAGGUAACGGCUUACCAAGGCAACGAUGCAUAGCCGACCUGAGAGGGUGAUCGGCCACACUGGAACUGAGACACGGUCCAGACUCCUACGGGAGGCAGCAGUAGGGAAUCUUCCGCAAUGGGCGAAAGCCUGACGGAGCAACGCCGCGUGAGUGAUGAAGGUCUUCGGAUCGUAAAACUCUGUUAUUAGGGAAGAACAGAUGUGUAAGUAACUGUGCACAUCUUGACGGUACCUAAUCAGAAAGCCACGGCUAACUACGUG